RNAcentral lists this ribosomal RNA (460 nucleotides) under uncultured bacterium. RNAcentral describes it as "partial 16S ribosomal RNA". It matches the Rfam family "Bacterial small subunit ribosomal RNA", at positions 338 to 795 of the family's 1533-position model. The record is from RNAcentral.
CCUACGGGUGGCAGCAGUGAGGAAUCUUGGUCAAUGGGCGUAAGCCUGAACCAGCCAAGUCGCGUGAGGGAUGAAGGUUCUAUGGAUCGUAAACCUCUUUUAUAAGGGAAUAAAGUGUGGGACGUGUCCUGUUUUGUAUGUACCUUAUGCAUAAGGAUCGGCUAACUCCGUGACAGCAGCCGCGGUAAUACGGAGGCUCCGAGCUUUAUCCGGAUUUAGUGGGUUUUAAGGGUGCGUAGGCGGCCGUUUAAGUCAGCGGUGAAAGUUUGUGGCUCAACCAUAGGAUUGCCGUUGAAACUGGGAGGCUUGAGUAGGUGUGAGGCAGGCGGAAUGCGUGGUGUAGCGGUGAAAUGCUUAGAUAUCACGCAGAACCCCGAUUGCGAAGGCAGCCUGCCAAGCCAUGACUGACGCUGAUGCACGAAAGCGUGGGGAUCAAACAGGAUUAGAUACCCCAGUAGUC